UACGGGGGGGGCAAGCGUUGUUCGGAAUUACUGGGCGUAAAGGGCUCGUAGGUGGCCAACUAAGUCGGACGUGAAAUCCCUCAGCUUAACUGGGGAACUGCGUCCGAUACUGGAUGGCUUGAGUUUGGGAGAGGGAUGCGGAAUUCCAGGUGUAGCGGUGAAAUGCGUAGAUAUCUGGAGGAACACCGGUGGCGAAGGCGGGUCUCUGGGCAACUCCUGACGCUGAGGCGCGAAAGCGUGGGGAGCAAACGGG
Molecule: ribosomal RNA, 253 nt
Filed under: uncultured bacterium
Lineage: Bacteria
Description: partial 16S ribosomal RNA
Rfam family: Bacterial small subunit ribosomal RNA
Source: RNAcentral